CCCUUAGAUGUCCUGGGCCGCACGCGCGCUACACUGAGUGUCUGAGAUACGAGUCUGCCUGGUCCGGCAAGGUCUAGGUAAUCGCUAAAAGACACAUCAUGCUUGGGAUAGAUUAUUGCAAAUAUUAAUCUUGAACGAGGAAUUCCUAGUAAGCGCAAGUCAACAGCUUGCGUUGAUUACGUCCCUGCCCUUUGUACACACCGCCCGUCGUUACUACUGAUUGGAUGUUUAAGCGAGGUUCUCGAACUGCUAGCGACUUAGCUUCGGUGAGGUCGCAGUGUGGGAAGUGAACCUAGCUUUGGUGUCUAGAGGAAGUAAAAGUCGUAACA
RNAcentral lists this ribosomal RNA (329 nucleotides) under uncultured eukaryote. RNAcentral's name for it is "partial 18S ribosomal RNA". It matches the Rfam family "Eukaryotic small subunit ribosomal RNA", at positions 1470 to 1796 of the family's 1831-position model. The record is from RNAcentral.